CUUUUCUGGAUAAUUCUGUUCUCUGAAUGAAAUUACAGAUCAAGUAUAGAUUACAAAAGAACAUAGCCUGCAGAUGUGUAUUGAGUUCAAAAGCAUGUAGAAGAAACUACUGAAAUGAUCAAAUGACAGAAAUGUAUAUUUUACAAUGCCUAAUCUUGAAUCUUAUGUUGCUACAUGUAAGCCAGGCUAUCAAAUCCUGAUAAGGUCUUGACCAAUUCCCAUUUUAAAGACAGACGAUUGUGGUUGGAAAUUGGACCUUCAUGAUUUCAUCAUCCAAUGAAUCAAUGAUACUUUUCCAGAUCCAUCUGCUGUUAGACUGUUAAUGUGCAUGCUUUCGAAUCUUGAUCAGUCAAUUGCAUAGCUUGGAAUUGGAAUGGUGGAAACUAGGAGCAUACAAGUUAUUGUAUAUAUUCCCAUAACUAUAUAUAAAUGGUUCCAUAUGUAUGUAUAAUCAUGAUCAAAUCUGAUGAGAAUCAUCAAGUAAGAUUAUAAUAUCAUAAAAUUAAUGAAUACAGCACAAGUAUAAUGUAGUCAUGUGGACAUUGCAUCAUGUAGAAUCUGACACCUCAAUUUAAAUUUAAAACAAGAAUAUAUCAUCUAUACAUGUUCAGCAACCUGGUUCAUUAGCAGCAGUAUUCUAUCAUGUCCAAAAAAACAGAAGUAGCUUAUAUUAUAUCAUCAUUAUCAUAACAGACUAUCUGGCAAGAGAACAUUUCCGGGUUUAAAACUAAUGGGAUGAGUACGUAAAAGAGGUUAAGAAAAUCCAGAGGAGUCAAAGCCAGGGAAGAGGCAGUGCAUGAGUGGAGCCACAACAGCUUGACUGUUCUGUUGGGAACUCCAUCCAUGCUCUACCUCGUCCCUGUCUUAUUUAUCAUCACUCUCUUUCAAUCCUCUCAGUUCUCACCCCUAAGAUGAACUAGUAAUGUGAAACUCUACCUGACCUCCAACAGAAUCAGCUGCUCCGAUCGAGAAUAGUACUCACCGGUCGACUUGCCUAUCUGCUUUGGUUAUGUCAAGCCUGAUUGAUCUAAAACUGAAUUGUGGGUAUCAUCUGUUCCUUGCUCAU
This 1066-nucleotide long non-coding RNA is filed under the name Fragaria vesca (wild strawberry). Its description in RNAcentral is "long non-coding RNA (FVES_LNC000316)". The record is from RNAcentral. Lineage: Eukaryota; Viridiplantae; Streptophyta; Magnoliopsida; Rosales; Rosaceae.